This 464-nucleotide ribosomal RNA is filed under the name uncultured bacterium. RNAcentral describes it as "partial 16S ribosomal RNA". It matches the Rfam family "Bacterial small subunit ribosomal RNA", at positions 28 to 507 of the family's 1533-position model. The record is from RNAcentral.
GACGAACGCUGGCGGCGUGCUUAACACAUGCAAGUCGAACGGUAAGGCCCUUUCGGGGGUACCCGAGUGGCGAACGGGUGAGUAACACGUGGGUGAUCUGCCCUGCACUUUGGGAUAAGCCUGGGAAACUGGGUCUAAUACCGGAUAGGACUACGCGAUGCAUGUCGUGUGGUGGAAAGCUUUUGCGGUGUGGGAUGGGCCCGCGGCCUAUCAGCUUGUUGGUGGGGUGAUGGCCUACCAAGGCGACGAUGGGUAGCCGGCCUGAGAGGGUGUCCGGCCACACUGGGACUGAGAUACGGCCCAGACUCCUACGGGAGGCAGCAGUGGGGAAUAUUGCACAAUGGGCGCAAGCCUGAUGCAGCGACGCCGCGUGGGGGAUGACGGCCUUCGGGUUGUAAACCCCUUUCAGCACAGACGAAGCGUAAGUGACGGUAUGUGCAGAAGAAGCACCGGCCAACUACGUG